GUCCCGGCAGCCCCGCUCCCGGCCGCGGCGACAGUUCCUGCACCGGGUUCCCCACUCGCCCCGAUUUACUGCCACAAUCCACCAAAUAACAAGCUGUUGAGCAGACUCGCUUCUACACGAACUACCAUUGGCUGCUCAUGACGCCCAAGAGCUACCGAUUGGAGCUCACACCCUCCCGUUCUCAUUGGAUGUAGCGCUCAAACUUCACGGAUUGGUUCGAGAAACAGCCGAUAGGACAUCUUCCACUUGUGAUUGGCUUUACCCAAGAAUAACGUUAUUGGAGAAUCGUGGAUUGAGUAAGCAAAUCCUGAGGCAUCAUUGGUGGAGACGAUUCCGGAUGUGCUGGACUGAGCACUGAUUGGUGCACUGAAGGGUCAGGAAGAGCAGUCCGGCACGAGGAUUGGCUGUGGAGUGUCCCAUGGAGACGGAGCCCAGAACCGCAGCCAGGGGCUUGCACGGGGGCGGGGCAGGGUCCUUCCAAAGCGCCUGCGCUAAAGCGGCUUCUCGGCGCCAUUUUGUCCCGGCAACGGUGGCCGCCGCUCUACCGCAUUUUAUGUUUCUGGCGUGAAGGUACCGGAGUUGUCGGCCUGUAGAUCUAUUUUAAUGCGAAGCUAUUCACCGUUCGCUCCAGUACAGCACCUCGUGAAGAACAGAGGGGUCGCAGAGCCGUGGAAAGGCCAAUUUCAGGCUGUGGUCGCCCGACUGACUGAGGGGAUGGCGCAGCUCUAGCGACUUCGGCACCGGAAGUGAGGGCGCCGGCGGCAGCCAUGUUGUGCUAAAGAAAAAAGGAGGACAUCUCGGUAAGACUACCCCAGAGAGGUGUACUUGUGAUAGAAAUACAAGCAAAUGGAUGACAGUCUAAUCAGAUAAGUGCUUUUGUACUCCAGAAUUCAUUUUGUUAUGUAGAACAGCCAAAGGAAAACUUUGUUCUUUAAAACUUUUUUUUUUUUUCUUUUUAGGUACCAGGAUCAAGAUGACUUAUAUAGCAAUAAAGUACUUUUUUUUUUGGUACCAGGAAUCAAACUCAGAACCUUACACUUGCGAGGCAGGUGGCGGAACCACUGAGGUAAAUAAAUCCCCAAGUCUAGGUACUGUUAAUCUUACAGUAAAUUUUAUAUUCAUGUCACAGUAUAACAGUUUAUCUGAAGCUAGAUUAAUCUUGCAUACCCAUUAAUCUUCAGUAUAUAUGCAAAUCUUUUUUCUAAUAUCUGUAUGGAGCUAGUUAUUACUGCUUAGCUUUAUAUUUAUCAGGUAUUAUGGCAUCUGCAAUAGCUAUAAUUGGCUUAGUUGCUCAAAAUUAGGUUUUAUUAUUUUUUUAUUUUGAUACUAGGGAUCAAACUCAGGAGGUUUAUGCUUGCAAGGCAGGCGGUGGAACCACUGAGCUAAAUCCUCAGCCCACAAUUACGUUUAGAACCAGGCUUUCGUGUUGAGACAGGGUCUCACUACAUUAUGUAGUCCAUCCUGUCACUGAACUAUCACUAUGUGAAACCCAUAGCAGUUCCUCUUCCUCAGCCUCCAGAGUGUUAGGAUUUCAGGUGCACCCGUCAUGUCUGGCUUCAAUCUUUUUUUUUUUUUUUUAAUUUAUUUAUGGUACCAGAGAUCGAACCUGGGUCCCCAGCCCUUCAGUCUUAUUUUAAAUAAGAGGGUUAGAGACAGGAACUUAAGAAUAGUCACAACAACAGCACAGUUACACAUGAUUCAUGUGCUAGUCAAACUUUAGAACUUUAAUAUAUGAUUGACCAUAGACUAGCUUAGACAUAGUGAUCUCUGAAAAUAAAAAAUAAACAUUUAGUAUCGUUUAGAUAAUUUCCCAAAGCCAACUUUUUUGAUCUUUGUUAUGUAUCAGUUAUAAAAAGCUUUUCACUGUGUUGUUAUAUACUGGUUUACAGUUGUAUCCUAGUUAGCUAUUCAAAUAUAAUGAUUUGCCAUUUUAACUACACAGAUGCUCAAAGUCCAGUAAUACUCUGCAGCUCAACUCAGUAACCAAUACCUUCUUAUGAGAAGGUAGCAGCUGAAUGGAGUAAUAUAGGCAUAAACCCAAUAAUGUAUGUGUACUUGGCCAGAGUUCACAUCAUCUAUUUCUGCUGUGAGUAUUGCUGUGCAGGUUAUGACACCUGUUCUUUUAGGCCUUAGUCAUGUAGGAACAGUUUUCACUACAUAGCACUUUCACAGACACGUUUGUGCAUGUGGGGCACAAACUUAGGGCUUUACACAGGCUAAGCAAGCGAGCACUCCUACCACUGAACUGUACCCCCAGCCCAUUAGUUUGGACCUAAAGGCUAUUUAAAUUUAUUUUUUUGUAUUUUUUAUUUUAUAGAUCAAAACAUGUUUAAGCGACACAAUAGAAACUAUCGAUCCUUGAAACUACUCCUCACAAUAAUAAAGGAAAAGAGAAAAAAACAGACUCUUUAUUAGCCUUUCCUUUCCCUGGGUAAAAUUACCCAAUAGAGGCAACUUAAAGAGAGGUGUAUUUUGGCUCAGUUUCAGUGGGUUUGGUCUGUGGCUGGCUGACACCCCUGCAAAGAUGGCCUGGCAGAGGGCCAGGUAGAAGACAGCUGUUCUUACCAUGAUGGGCAGGAAGCAGAGAAGAAGAGCCAGAGACAAGAAUAUACCUCUUAUUUCCCCAGUGACCCUCCUGUUCUGACCAGGCCUCACCUUCCAAUGGCAGUGAGCUAUACUCCAAUGUCAAGUUUUGUGUGCUGAAGACCAAACAGGGCCUGGCACAUACUAGACGUCUGCUAUACCACAGAGCCACAUCCCCAGCCCAUUCAGAACAUUUAAAUUUGUAGCUGUGCCGCUAACUGAAGGAUGUUGACCAAAGCAUUAACAUUCGCUUAUUUUUUUUUAACAUUCACUUAUUUUUUAAGUAAGUACCUAUUAUGCCAGGCAUGAUGGUGCACACCUGCAAUCCCAGUACUCAGAGGAGGCUAAGGCAGGAGGAUCAUUGCAAGUUGUAAGCCAGCCCGGUCUAAUAGUUCAAGGUCAGUUUGAACUGCACAGACUCUCUGUCCCCCACAAAAGGACCUACUAUAUAUGUUACUAAAUGAGAAUAAAAAGAUAAUUACUCGUUCAUUAAAUACUUUUUAGCAAAACAUUCACCACAGAAUUUGUACCCGUACAUGACAUUAUCUUGCUUCUAUUUUUCCUAUUCCCCUCCUUUCAACCCCCUUCCC
Long non-coding RNA from Fukomys damarensis (Damara mole-rat), 3173 nucleotides. RefSeq lists it as uncharacterized. The transcript is spliced from 4 exons. The record is from RefSeq and is a predicted model, not a curated record. Lineage: Eukaryota; Metazoa; Chordata; Mammalia; Rodentia; Bathyergidae.